RNAcentral lists this unclassified non-coding RNA (253 nucleotides) under uncultured Chitinophagales bacterium. RNAcentral's name for it is "contains 16S-23S intergenic spacer region". It matches the Rfam family "Bacterial small subunit ribosomal RNA", at positions 524 to 776 of the family's 1533-position model. Lineage: Bacteria; Pseudomonadati; Bacteroidota; Chitinophagia; Chitinophagales. The record is from RNAcentral.
UACGGAGGGUGCAAGCGUUAUCCGGAAUCACUGGGUUUAAAGGGUGCGUAGGCGGAAUAAUAAGUCAGGCGUGAAAGGUCACGGCUCAACUGUGGAAUUGCGUUUGAUACUGUUAUUCUUGAAUUGAGAUGAGGUCAGCGGAAUGCGACAUGUAGCGGUGAAAUGCAUAGAUAUUACAUAGAAUACCGAUUGCGAAGGCCGAUCACUAAUAAUUUACUGACGCUGAGGUGCGAAAGCGUGGGUAGCAAACAGG